AAAUUUCUUCUCUAUUUUCGAGAAUGCUCAAUUGGAACAAAAUAUAUUGAAACUUCCAGCUAAUUUUUUUUUUACCCGAAGGUCACUCAAAAAAAUCAAAUACAGAUCAUAACAGAAGAUCCUUAAGGACAAACAUUUCUUUCUCACAAACAAACAAUAAAACAAAAAACAAAAAUAUCAGUCGUGUGCCACCAACACGGCAAUGUCCUUCACAACCUGUCAACAGAAUUGAACAUAAUGUGACUACUUAUUGUCAUCUUCAUUCACAUCAAUUCGAGGACAUUUGUGACAGUGGCAUCAAGGUCAAAAGAAGGCAAUACAAAUUGACUUCUGAAGUGAAAAAUACAUCACCACUGAGCGGAAAGACAAAGUCAAGAAAAAGCAAGAAGUCAUAUCUCCAAUAAAUAAAGGAAGGGGAAAUUAACGCGCGUGAGGG
Molecule: long non-coding RNA, 436 nt
Organism: Episyrphus balteatus (marmalade hoverfly)
Lineage: Eukaryota; Metazoa; Arthropoda; Insecta; Diptera; Syrphidae
Exons: 3
Source: RefSeq, a predicted model, not a curated record